Molecule: ribosomal RNA, 1545 nt
Filed under: Phelsuma laticauda (broad-tailed day gecko)
Lineage: Eukaryota; Metazoa; Chordata; Lepidosauria; Squamata; Gekkonidae
Description: 16S ribosomal RNA
Rfam family: Bacterial large subunit ribosomal RNA
Source: RNAcentral
AGCCCAACUACUAGCCCACAAUUCCCCCCAAACUUCCCAACCAACCAAACUAAACCAUUCUACAAGCCAAGUUUUUGAGAACAAAAAGCUUAACUCAGCGCAAUAGUAAAUAGUAUUAUAAAAGAAAGUUGAAAGAACAGUUAUUCACUUUAAGCACCAAAAAGCAGCCACAACAACCCGUACCUUUUGCAUCAUGGUUUAGCAAGAAAUACCAGAUAAAGAGAACUAAAACCUGCGCCCCCGAAACCAAACGAUCUAUCUAAAAGCAGUCCCAAGGACGCACCCAUCUCUGUCGCAAAAGAGUGGGAUGACUUCUAGAUAGAGGUGACACGCCAAUCGAGUUUGGUGAUAGCUGGUUACCCAUUAAAUGAAUCUCAGUUCACCCCUACAAGACAUAGAUAAUAACAAAUAUCCCACUAUUAUUGUAGGAGAUAUACAAUAAGGGAACAGCCUUAUUGUAAUUGAAUACAAUCAGAACUAGAGGGCCACCAAAAUCAGACUUUCAAUAGGCCUUAAAGCAGCCAUUAAAAAAUAUAGCGUUAAAGCAAAAUCCAAAUAUAAUCCCAUAAUCCACCCAAAACCCCUAGAAUAACACUGGGUCACUUUGAUUUACAAAGGAGAUAAUGCUAAAAUUAGUAAUAAGAGAAAACUCUCCUUGCACACCCAUACACCAGCACAGAUGAACUUCUGGUAGUUAACACCCCAUUACAUGUAAAACCCACAAGAAUCUACAUCACACAACAUGUUAACCCAACACAGGCGUGCUAAUUGAAGAGAAAGAUUAAAAGCUAUAGAAGGAAUUCGGCUAAUACGCCCCACCUGUUUACCAAAAACAUGGCCUUUAGCAACAAUAAGUAUUAAAGGUCCAACCUGCCCAGUGAACUCGCUUUUAACGGCCGCGGUAUCCUAACCGUGCGAAGGUAGCAUAAUCAUUUGUCUCUUAAAUAGAGACUAGUAUGAACGGUUAAAUGAGGGCUUAACUGUCUCCUAUAGCCAAUCAAUGAAAUUGAUCUCACAGUACAAACGCUGUGAUACAACUAUAAGACGAAAAGACCCUGUGGAGCUUUAAAUUUCUACAUUAACUUAAACAUACUAGUAUAAUGUAAAUUUUAAGUUGGGGCGACUAUGGAGUAAAAUAAAACCUCCACGCAAGACGACUAACCCCCGUCACACAAAGGCCAACAAGCCAAACUAAUAACACAUGAUCCAGUCAAACUGACCACCGAACCAAGUUACCCCAGGGAUAACAGCGCCAUCCCCUUAAAGAGUCCCCAUCGAUAAGGGGGUUUACGACCUCGAUGUUGGAUCAGGACACCCAAGUGGUGCAACAGCUACUAAAGGUUCGUUUGUUCAACGAGUAACGUCCUACGUGAUCUGAGUUCAGACCGGAGCAAUCCAGGUCGGCUUCUAUCUAUAUUAUUCUUCUUCAGUACGAAAGGACCAAGAAGACGUUAUCAAUACUCCAAAGUACAUAACGAAACUUAAGUACAGGAAGACAACUUAAAAACACCACAACCAAUUCAAGCCCUAAACCAGGGCACAAAA